AGAUUGAACGCUGGCGGCAGGCCUAACACAUGCAAGUCGAGCGGCAGCACGGGUACUUGUACCUGGUGGCGAGCGGCGGACGGGUGAGUAAUGCCUAGGAAUCUGCCUGGUAGUGGGGGAUAACGCUCGGAAACGGACGCUAAUACCGCAUACGUCCUACGGGAGAAAGCAGGGGGACCUUCGGGCCUUGCGCUAUCAGAUGAGCCUAGGUCGGAUUAGCUAGUUGGUGAGGUAAUGGCUCACCAAGGCGACGAUCCGUAACUGGUCUGAGAGGAUGAUCAGUCACACUGGAACUGAGACACGGUCCAGACUCCUACGGGAGGCAGCAGUGGGGAAUAGUUGGACAAGUGGGACGAAAGCCUGAUCCAGCCAUGCCGCGUGUGUGAAGAAGUCUUCGGAUUAGUAAAGCUACGUUUAAGUUGGGAGGAAGGCAGUUACUAAUACGUAUCUGUUUGUACGUUACGACGAGAAUAAGCACCGGAUAACGUCUGUCGACCUAGACG
This 503-nucleotide ribosomal RNA is filed under the name uncultured soil bacterium. Its description in RNAcentral is "bacterial SSU rRNA". It matches the Rfam family "Bacterial small subunit ribosomal RNA", at positions 26 to 530 of the family's 1533-position model. The record is from RNAcentral.